GUUGUUUAUAGCUGUUUAAUAUGACCUAUGUGCAGUUCUGGAAAACCAGUGCAUCAGCUUUGGCAUCUAGUAACAAGACUGGCAUCAGCCAAGAGAGCCUUAUACACCUUCCACAUCUGGGACACCUACCCACUAGCCAGAAAUGAAUGAUGCACGGCUGAGACAAAGAUAAAAUCCUUUUGUGCUGCCCAUUCUUUCUGCAGAUCGUGGCCCAUGAAACCAGACUGGUGAAAGGACACAGUGUUACCACCACACCUCUCAGCUCCUCUGCCUGGCUCAUUUUGGUGAUCUGGUUUGCAGAGCCACCCCUGAAACUUUUCCUCCAGAGCAGCCAAGAGAGAAAGGAGCUGCCCUGCUCAGCCCGAACAGAGGCAGGAAAAGGUUUCAGCGCAGACAGGAACAUGGCCAAGCAAGAACAGGAGAUGUGAAGAAGAGAAAGUCUUCAGCAGCCCAGGGUGGCAUGUCUCACUAAAAGCCACAGAAGCUCUGGGACAGUCAUCUCCAGAAUGUGAAUUUACCAUCAACACAGCCUGGAAAAAU
RNAcentral lists this long non-coding RNA (540 nucleotides) under Corvus moneduloides (New Caledonian crow). RNAcentral describes it as "lncRNA (ENSCMUG00000017252.1)". Lineage: Eukaryota; Metazoa; Chordata; Aves; Passeriformes; Corvidae. The record is from RNAcentral.